GGAGACAUACUCAAGAGGCUGAAGAGGCGCCCCUGCUAAGGGUGUAGGUCGGGAAUACUGGCGCGAGGGUUCAAAUCCCUCUGUCUCCGCCA
This 92-nucleotide transfer RNA is filed under the name Candidatus Alloscybalousia intestinigallinarum. Its description in RNAcentral is "tRNA-Ser". It matches the Rfam family "tRNA". Rfam says of the family: Transfer RNA (tRNA) molecules are approximately 80 nucleotides in length. Their secondary structure includes four short double-helical elements and three loops (D, anti-codon, and T loops). Lineage: Bacteria; Bacillati; Bacillota; Bacilli. The record is from RNAcentral.